Molecule: ribosomal RNA, 253 nt
Filed under: uncultured bacterium
Lineage: Bacteria
Description: partial 16S ribosomal RNA
Rfam family: Bacterial small subunit ribosomal RNA
Source: RNAcentral
UACGAAGGGGGCUAGCGUUGCUCGGAAUGACUGGGCGUAAGGGGCGCGUAGGCGGUUUGGUUAGUUAGGCGUGAAAUUCCUGGGCUUAACCUGGGGACUGCGCUUAAGACAGCCAGACUUGAGUGUGAAAGAGGGUCGUGGAAUUCCCAGUGUAGAGGUGAAAUUCGUAGAUAUUGGGAAGAACACCGGUGGCGAAGGCGGCGACCUGGUUCAUUACUGACGCUGAGGCGCGAAAGCGUGGGGAGCAAACAGG